UUGUGACUUUUUUGAAAACUGGACAGUUUAUAUAAUAUAUUGCAGCAAUUCUAGAUAUUGGUCUUUCCCCUCCAGGUCUUCUUGUUGUUUACUUAGUAACUGGCUGGGCUCUUUUAGGGAAAUCUAUUCCCCCACAUUGUGAAGCCUCUGGUGUUGCUGCUCAGAAAGUCCAUGUGCCUUGGGCAUCCACACAGUCACCCUGAGAUGACAGUGGUUUUAGCAGAACUCUCUUUGCGCAUCUAUCUCUUGGGCCACACCCAACUUUAGGUGCCACUGUCAGCUGGUUGCUCUUUACUUUUAGACAACGUCUUGGAGGCAUAAAUUGUUCUCUAGUCUGAUCCAAGCAAAAUUAGAAUCUUUUCAGGGGUAGAAUUUGAGAUCAGCAUUUUUUGAUAUCCAUAUUUGAGGUGUGUUCGGACCCCAGCUGGGCUCUUCGUACUGUCUCUUUUCUUGGUUCACGUGGUACACUAGCUGGCUUAGGAUUUAGCUUGUGUCUUCACUGCUUUCCACCACAACCACCACUGUUGUUGAGAGAGCACCAUGGGGCUGGAACUUUCCCAUACUCUGUUUCAAAUAAAGUCAGUUCCUUUGGGGAGAGCUUUGGCUCUCGCUGUCCUAUGGCUAGCUUCUCCCCUUGGAUGAAACCUCUCAGCCGUGGCUCUGGAGCUGAGGGACACUCCUGCUUGAAGAGUAGAGUGCGCAUUGAGAGAGACAGCCUCUAGCCUUCUCACUUUCCUCUCCCAGUGAGGAAACUUCACUCUACAAACUGGUUGGGGCGAAGGCAACAAGGACCCUAUUUCUCUUAAUGUGCCAGAGCUGAGUAGAGGCUCCACCUUUCGAGUAGGGGGUACAUGGAAGAAGGCACCCAAAUUUUUAGCUGCACUUGCCUGGAAUUUAGCUUCCACAAUGUAUAGUUAGGAGAGAUGAGAAAUGCUGAUGGCCUGUUCCUUCUGAGGAGAUACCAGAGCCCUCAACUGGAAGCUAUGUUCUUGGGUAUCCCUACCUGGAGUGGAGUUUCUGCCAUGCUGAGCUGGAAGAGGAGUGUAAGGGGGUGAUUCAUUGUUCAAAUGCUAUAGACUCUCCCUGUUUUUACUGAAUUAUAGUACAUUUUCUUAUAUAAAUGACUGAAAUAAAUAACAAACUUAUUCAUUAAACUAUUUUAUUUUAUGAAGUUAUUCAUUAAAUUAAAAACUGAUUAUUUAUUUUAUGCCCUAAGGACCACACUAGAGACUUUAAAUGUUUGCUUUUGUUUUGUUGUGUUUCUUCUAACACCUGCACCUGCUGAUAUGGAAAUUUCCAGGCUGGGGGGGAACUGGAGCUGUAGUUGAAGGCCUAUGCCACAGCCACAGCAACACCAGAUCUGAGCUGCAUCUGCCACCUACACCACAAUCUGAGAUGUCUUUUGGAAAGCCUGUAAGGAUGGGAGUUGACUGCCAGGGGUACAAUCAUGUAAUUAAAAUAUUGGAACUUUGAGCUCUAUCCCCCAAUGUCCAGCCUGCAGGGAGGAGAGAGGGGCUAGAGUUUGAGUUAAUCACUAGCGGUCAAUGAUUUAAUUAAGCAUGCCUGUAAUGAAGCCUCCAGAAGUCCCAAAAGGAUAGGGUUUGGUGAGCUUCUGGGUUGGUAAAGAUUGGAGGUCCUGGGAGAAUGGCAAGCCCAGAGAAAGCACAGAAACCCCAAGUUCCUUCCCGCAUACCUUGUUCUAUGCAUCUCUUCCAUAUGACCAUCCCUGACUUAUUAUAUUCUUUAAUUUUAUUUAUUUAUGUAUUUAUUUUUUAGGGCCAUAACCAGAGCAGACGGAGGUUCCCAGGCUAGGGGUCAAAUCGGAGCUCAGAGGCACAGCAAUGCCGGAUCUGAGCCACAUCUGCAACUGACACCACAACUCACGGCCACACUGGAUCCACUGAAUGAGGCCAGGGAUGGAACCCACAUCCUCAUGGACACUAGUCCAGUUCAUUACCACUGAGCCACAAACUGCUUGAUGGUGUGGGGAAAACCCCAGCCACAUGUAGUGGUCAGAAGUGUCAACGCAAGAGAAUGUAGCAGUGUAAUGUAAAUGACAACAACAGUUUUCCUUUACAGCCAUGCGGUGUACUUUUUCAUCUCAGGUAUCAUUUUUAAUCUCUAGACUUUCAAUUUGAGUAUUUUUUUUUUUUUGUAUUUCCUUGUCUCCUCUGACCUUUUUAGACAUACUGAAUACAAUUAUAACAAUAACUGUUUCAAUGUUCUCUGUUCAUUCUUUUUUUUUUCCUGUUCAUUCGAACAUCUGCGCAUUCUAACAUCUAAUCGUAGGCCAGAUUUUAUUGAUUGAUUAUUCUCCUGAUUAUGGAUCAUGAUUUCAUGCCUGUUGUAUCUGAUUGGAUGCUAGUGAUUGUGUUUUACCUUGUUGGGUGCCAGGUAUUUUUUGCAUUCCUCUAAGUUUUUCUUGAGCUUUUUGUCUGGGAUGAAGUUCAGUUCCUCGAAAACAGUUUGAUUUUUUAUUCAGGUCUUGCUUUUGUGCUCACUUAGGCAUUUCCUGGAAUGGUGCUCAGUCUAGGGCUAGUUAUUCUCCACCACGGAGGCAGGACCUUCCUGAGAACAUGCUCUACCCAGUGCCCCAUGAAAGGUCUUUCCAGUCUAGCUGCUGGGAACAGGUGUUGCUCCUGGCACUCACCGUUCCUGCUAAUGCUUUCGGAUAUUUCAUUCCUCAGGCUUAUGCAUGCAGUGAUCAGAACUCUACUGAAUAGUCAAGGGGACCCUCUGCUGAUCGUUGGGGUUCUCUCUCUGUGCAGCUAUCUGCUCUCUCCUAAGAAAUGGGGCUGAUUUGGUCUCUGGACACUGACCUUCCUCUUUUCAACCCAGGCUUCAUCUUAGUUUCCCCCUCCUGCACAUGCCUUGGAAAAUAUGUAAAGCCAAGUAAGCUGGGGCACUCGUCGAACUCAACUUGCUUAGUUCCAAUGUCCUUCAGUGCCUGGUGUCCAGUGCCUAGGAAACUGUCGUUUCAUACAUUUCGUCUGUUUUUUGUUUCAUCGUUUGUUUCAAAUGGAAAGGUAAAUCCAGCCCUUUCCCUCAUCCACCUUGAUCAGAAGCAGAAAUUGAUAGCUAUUAUUAUUCUAGUAUUUAUUCAAAAUAUCUGUUGGGGAGUUCCCUGAUGGUCCAGUGGUUAAGGAUUUGGCAUUGUCACUGCUGUGGCAUAGGUUCCAUCCCUCUAUCCCUGGCCCAGGGACUUCCUCAUGUCCCAUAAAGAUAUAUAUAUAUAUAUGAGAGAGAGAGAGAGAGAUAUUGGGCACCUCCUCGCACCAGGCACUGCACUAGGUAACUCGGUGCUGGCUAUACGGUGAUGAACCAACAAUAAUGGUCCCUGGCCUCAUGGCCAGUCUGACAUUUUGGGAUCCACGUGCAUGGGAAGCAAUAAAUGCCCUGCUCCCUGGACUUACACAUAUUGCCAUGGAUCAUAGGUGGCCCUUCCUCUCAAGAAAUUCAGAAUUAAGGGAGACUAAAGCGAAUUCAUUAACCCAAAGGGGGCUUUGAAAAGUAUUAUGUGUGAGACACAAAGGCUCUGGGCAUACAUAGGAAGAAGUAAUAAGUUCUGACUGGAAGUAUAAGGAAAGUCUGCAUGGGGAAGGUGAAUGUGAGUGAAGCCUGAGUGUGUGUCCUUUUGAAUGGACAGGGGAAAAAAGGUAGAAGGCUCAAGGUGCUUUUAAACCUGAAAGCAGUUAAUCACAAUUUCCUCCUAGCAGAUACAGCCCUCGGCUGGCUCUUCUUUAACUAAGAGAACAAAGAGAAGCCUAAUCUCCUGCUGGAGAGGAAGCUGCCCCAGGAAGUGAAUCCUGAUUUGCCUGAAUCAGCCCUGGAAAUUUCAUUCCCAUUUCUGUCACUGGAUCAGGCAUAGGUCUGUGACACCAUUCUGUCCAAUGAGAGGUGAAGAAAGUCUGCUGGGAAAGCUUUCUUCCUGAUAAAGAGAGGAAACACCCCCUUUCCCCCUGCCUCUGACAGAAAAAAACAAAACAAAACAAAACAAAACAGAAAACCUGGUUCCUAGAUGAUAUUAUCAAGCCACUUGAAUUAACCACUCUGAAAGCGAUCUAAUGUGAGACAUCUUGUUACAUGAGAUGAUAAAGUUUUAUUGUUUUAGUAACUUCUGGAAGGAUUUUGUUGUUUUUGAUGGUGUCACCUGCAGCCAGGAGUAGCAGAUCAGCACACUCCAGACCAACUGGCCUAUCUGAAAUUUGCUUUUCCUUUCCACUGGUAUAAUCUGCUGCUAAUUGUCACUCCUCUUGCUUCUGGUUCCUUUGCCUUAUCAAUAACAAAGAUUAAAGAUGACAAUAUAUUCAGCCAUACAUGCACAUGGGAAGAAAUAGAAAGCAAUUUUUAAAAUGAAAGAACAUAAUUACACAGUGAAAUACAUUGACUAUUUAAAAGCAUCACUCACUCCUGAUCCUUUGGUUGAAAGGACUUGUUUAACUCUCAGAGGACAGUGGAGGAAAGGAAAUAAAAAAGAAGAGAAUGUAGGAAAGCCCAGGGGAAAUAAUAUAAACUUCUGCAUUCCCAGCAGUGCUGGAAUUCUCUAGUAAUUCCCACAGAAGCCAAGACCACCUCUGGAACAAUUUAACUGUUGGAAACCACCAGUGUCUGCCAAGAAACCCACUAGAACAGGGGCAAAGGAUGUGCCAUCCUCAUUCUGGAGAGUCUGGAUCAAUCCCAGGAGCCCAGGCCUGCCGGUGGCAAAACUGUGAAUAAGCAAAGACUGUCGCCAAUCUCCACCCACCUUCUCAUUCCCUUCCUGAUCCUCCUCCUGUUUUAGCUCUAAAGUCUUUCUCUCUGUACCUCCUCCCACUCCUCCUUGUCACCCCCGCCCCACUCAACAAAUCACAUCCUGCUAGCCCUCAGGAGCACAGAGAGUACCAAGCCUCCUGCCUCAGGGCCCUCGCAUUUUAAUCAGGACCUCUUCCACACCCCAGGCAGUGCUUCUCUACUGCUUAAAAUUCAAGCCUCUGGACAGGCAGUGGGGGACAAGCCACUUGGGCACAGCAUUUGCUGUCUCCUGCAGUGUCAGUGCAGGUGGGGUGAAGCACCAAGGAGUACAUGGUCAGGUCUCACGGCCAGCCAGUGGGGAGUGCCAGAUCACAAGGACAUUACUUCAAACUCUACUCCUCUCUGCCAAUGCACAUAAGGCCUUAUCCUCCACUCAUAUACCCACACCCCUGCAGUCUGGCUUCUCCUACUCACCGUCAGCCUCGGUUUAGAUGUCCCUUCCUCCAGGAGGCCUUCCUAGUCAAUCCCCUCGGACAUAGCCCAUAAUUCUGAAUGCCUCCCUCCCUGAGAACUUGUCAUGAUGAUUUACUCUCUGUGGCUACUCAGUACACCAGGACCCAGUACAGCCCUGACAUUUAGCAGGUGCUCAGUAUAUGGAAUGAAUGAAUGAAUGAGUGAGUGAAUAUCUAUUUACAUACGUUAUAGCUUUCCACAAACCAUGACUUGUCACGUGCUCCAUUGCACCCUCAGCACCCAGUCUAUGUGCUUAGGCCAUGGAAGGCACACAAUCUUUAUUCAUUAAUGACUGAAGAAGGAUACUUGGACCUCUGCUGCUGUCGAUAAUGUCCUGACAUCCUUAUCUCAAAAGCAAGAAGUACAGCCCAGUGACUUUUUCCAGAGGAUCAGGGAUGGGGGACAAAACAAAAUGGAGGAAAAGCUCUGGGGUACAGCUGUCCAGGGCUUUGGGGGUGGGCUCCUCUUCAACUACAGUUUGUUUACGAGGGAUCCUUAACCUGAGGCUCACACGAAUGGGGCUUCAGAAGAUUCGUGAGUCCUCUGACACAUUAAUCAAACAUCCAAGCCAGUAGCUGUAUAUGCAUUUUUCUGUAAAAAGGCCCAUGGCUUUCAAGGAGUCUCAAAAGGCUGUAACACAAAAGGAAGCAUUGCUCUACCAGCACUGUCCAAUAUGAUAGCCACUAGCCGCAUGCGACAAUGUAAGUUAAAUUUUCAAUGCCUCAAUUACACUAGCUACCUGUCAAGUGUGCUCGGUAGAUAGAUGCUCCCUAUUGGGCAGCCCAGAUAUAGAAUGUUUUCAUCACCCCAUAAAGUUCUUCAGAGCUUCUCUAUACUGGUAGCAUUUCUCAGGAGUCAAUGGACUGACAAGAUUUGUUUAAGACGUGUAGUGCUUGUGUAAAGUGAACUGUCACCAUUUAGAAAUGAAAACAGACAUCUGAGAUCCCGAUUUCUUCUGCGACCAUCUGCCAACUUGGGGCCUGAACUCGUCCUGGCAGCCGGAGUGCACAGGGCUGCUCAGUUUAGAUGGUCCUUUAGUCACGUUCAAGUCACCACCUUGGCCCUCCUCCACAUCUGAGUUUGCGACCCUGGCUUCUAGGACACCUCGCCCACCCGGUUCUCCUUCCAGUCUCCUGUGUUUGUAACUAGAUUCCAAGUUUGGGUAAGUGGGGUUGAAUCUGUUUUAAGUGCACAUCUUGGGGUGGAGUCUGGGGCUGAGAUUCGGCAUCCCAGUUGGAAGUUGGGGUGGGGCAGCACCCUGCUCCCUUCAGUUCUCUGGAACUGGAAGAAGAGAGAGGGAAUUUUACCCCAAUCAUCUGUUGCUUGACAAAGAACUUCCCGGUCUUCCUAGGAGCCCUCCACUCCCCAGCCCAGU
This 6619-nucleotide transfer RNA is filed under the name Sus scrofa (pig). RNAcentral describes it as "lncRNA (ENSSSCG00030003982.1)". The record is from RNAcentral. Lineage: Eukaryota; Metazoa; Chordata; Mammalia; Artiodactyla; Suidae.